UACGUAGGGAGCAAGCGUUGUCCGGAAUCAUUGGGCGUAAAGCGCGCGUAGGCGGCCCGAUAAGUCCGUUGUGAAAGUCAAAGGCUCAACCUUUGAAUGCCGAUGGAUACUGUCGGGCUAGAGUCCGGAAGAGGCGAGUGGAAUUCCUGGUGUAGCGGUGGAAUGCGCAGAUAUCAGGAGGAACACCGGUGGCGAAGGCGGUUCUCUGGGCCUGUACUGACGCUGAGGAACGAAAGCGUGGGGAGCGAACAGG
RNAcentral lists this ribosomal RNA (253 nucleotides) under uncultured bacterium. Its description in RNAcentral is "partial 16S ribosomal RNA". It matches the Rfam family "Bacterial small subunit ribosomal RNA", at positions 524 to 776 of the family's 1533-position model. The record is from RNAcentral.